Molecule: unclassified non-coding RNA, 345 nt
Filed under: soil metagenome
Description: partial contains 5.8S ribosomal RNA, internal transcribed spacer 2, and large subunit ribosomal RNA
Rfam family: 5.8S ribosomal RNA (bases 1-119)
Source: RNAcentral
GAUGAAGAACGUAGCGAAAUGCGAUACGUAAUGUGAAUUGCAAAUUCAGUGAAUCAUCGAGUCUUUGAACGCACAUUGCGCCCCCUGGUAUUCCGGGGGGCAUGCCUGUCCGAGCGUCAUUGCUGCCCUCAAGCACGGCUUGUGUGUUGGGCCCCGUCCUCCGAUCCCGGGGGACGGGCCCGAAAGGCAGCGGCGGCACCGCGUCCGGUCCUCGAGCGUAUGGGGCUUUGUCACCCGCUCUGUAGGCCCGGCCGGCGCUUGCCGAUCAACCCAAAUUUUUAUCCAGGUUGACCUCGGAUCAGGUAGGGAUACCCGCUGAGCUUAAGCAUAUCAAUAAGCGGAGGA